UAGGGAAUCUUCCACAAUGGACGAAAGUCUGAUGGAGCAACGCCGCGUGAGUGAAGAAGGGUUUCGGCUCGUAAAGCUCUGUUGGUAGUGAAGAAAGAUAGAGGUAGUAACUGGCCUUUAUUUGACGGUAAUUACUUAGAAAGUCACGGCUAACUACGUGCCAGCAGCCGCGGUAAUACGUAGGUGGCAAGCGUUGUCCGGAUUUAUUGGGCGUAAAGCGAGUGCAGGCGGUUCAAUAAGUCUGAUGUGAAAGCCUUCGGCUCAACCGGAGAAUUGCAUCAGAAACUGUUGAACUUGAGUGCAGAAGAGGAGAGUGGAACUCCAUGUGUAGCGGUGGAAUGCGUAGAUAUAUGGAAGAACACCNGUGGCGAAGGCGGCUCUCUGGUCUGCAACUGACGCUGAGGCUCGAAAGCNUGGGUAGCGAAC
Molecule: ribosomal RNA, 426 nt
Filed under: uncultured Lactobacillus sp.
Lineage: Bacteria; Bacillati; Bacillota; Bacilli; Lactobacillales; Lactobacillaceae
Description: bacterial SSU rRNA
Rfam family: Bacterial small subunit ribosomal RNA
Source: RNAcentral